AACGGACGCUGGCGGCAUGCCUAACACAUGCAAGUCGAACGAGACCUUCGGGUCUAGUGGCGCACGGGUGCGUAACGCGUGGGAACCUGCCCUUAGGUUCGGAAUAACUCCCCGAAAGGGGUGCUAAUACCGGAUAAUGUCUUCGGACCAAAGAUUUAUCGCCUUAGUAUGGGCCCGCGUUGGAUUAGCUAGUUGGUAGGGUAAAAGCCUACCAAGGCGACGAUCCAUAGCUGGUAUGAGAGGAUGAUCAGCCACACUGGGACUGAGACACGGCCCAGACUCCUACGGGAGGCAGCAGUGGGUGACAUUGGACAGUGGGCGAAAGGCUGAUGCAGCAAUGCCCGGAGAGUGAUGAAGGCAGUAGGGUUGUAAAGCUCAUUUAACCGGGAUGAUAAUGACAGUACCGGGAGAAUAAGCUCCGGCUAACUACGUG
RNAcentral lists this ribosomal RNA (433 nucleotides) under uncultured bacterium. RNAcentral describes it as "partial 16S ribosomal RNA". It matches the Rfam family "Bacterial small subunit ribosomal RNA", at positions 29 to 507 of the family's 1533-position model. The record is from RNAcentral.